GACGAACGCUGGCGGCGCGCUUAACACAUGCAAGUCGAACGGAAAGGCCUGCUUUCCCUUGUGGAUUGCGGGUACUCGAGUGGCGAACGGGUGAGUAACACGUGAGUGAUCUGCCCCCAACUUGGGUAUAAGCCUGGGAAGCUGGGUCUAAUUCCCGAUAGGACUGCAGGGUGGUGCCUGUGGUGGAAAACGAUUUUCUAGUGGUUGGGGAUGAGCUCGCGGCCUAUCAGCUUGUUGGUGGGGUAAUGGCCUACCAAGGCGGCGACGGGUAGCCGGCCUGAGAGGGUGGACAGCCACAUUGGGACUGAGAUACGGCCCAGACUCCUACGGGAGGCAGCAGUGGGGAAUAUUGCACAAUGGGCGGAAGCCUGAUGCAGCGACGCCGCGUGGGGGAUGACGGCCUUCGGGUUGUAAACUCCUUUCGACCGCGAGGAAGCCACCUGGUUGGAAGGGUGGUGACGGCAGUGGUAGAAGAAGCACCGGCUAACUACGUG
Molecule: ribosomal RNA, 494 nt
Filed under: uncultured bacterium
Lineage: Bacteria
Description: partial 16S ribosomal RNA
Rfam family: Bacterial small subunit ribosomal RNA
Source: RNAcentral